This is a long non-coding RNA of Schistocerca serialis cubense, 388 nucleotides long. RefSeq lists it as uncharacterized. The record is from RefSeq and is a predicted model, not a curated record. NCBI's taxonomy places the organism in Eukaryota, Metazoa, Arthropoda, Insecta, Orthoptera, Acrididae. The transcript has 3 exons.
CGGGGCCUCCGUGCUGGACUGCGUCUGCAGCCACGUCGGCCGCGGUGAGGGAGAGGUGUUUUCCUGCAGCUGUCAGCGCAGGGACCUCGACACGCCUAGCACCGCGGUGCCGGUUGUGGCGCGCCUGGCACAGAGUAGCUGGUGUACGGACCACCGUCGCCUGCAGAGGGAGACCAGCAGCCCAGAGACGAGGAGGGGCGCGGCGGCGCCCUGGUGGCUGUUCGCAGCAUCACCUGGACCUCUGGCAGGGGACUCAGCGGUGGCCUCGCGUGCCUCGUCGCUGCCGACUGCACCGACCCCUGCUCCGUGCACAGCUGCGGUCGACGUGCCAGCAGACGCAGUCCAGCACGGAGGCCCCGUUUGAUGCAAGCAGAGCCAGCGGCGACGC